This 1716-nucleotide ribosomal RNA is filed under the name Triticum aestivum (bread wheat). RNAcentral's name for it is "partial small subunit ribosomal RNA". Lineage: Eukaryota; Viridiplantae; Streptophyta; Magnoliopsida; Poales; Poaceae. The record is from RNAcentral.
AUGGCGUGGCAAUUGCAGCAAACAAUGGCCACGAUGAGUACAUGCUUUCAGACGUCCUCGCCGGCAACGGUGCGCUGUGCCGCGGCGGCUCGGCGGUCUGCCAACUACGCUCCCAGCUCCUGGGAUUACGACUCCCUCCUCCAGCUCUCGCCCAACAAUGGCGGACAGCUGGCAGAUCAAGUCGAUAUGUUGAAGGCCGGCGUGAGGGAGCGGCUGGUGGCGGCGAGCCGAGGCGACCACCAAGCUGCGAAGCUCAGGCUUGUCGACACAGUACAACGGCUCGGCAUCGCCUACCAUUUCGAGGAGGAGAUCGCCAGUAUCCUUAGCUCCAUCCACCACCGCAAGCCUCACCGGUGCAGCUGGGACGACAAUGCCAGUGAUGUUGCCUCUGUGGCCUUGAGGUUCAGGUUGCUCAGGGACGGUGGUUUCCCAGUCUUCUUCCCUCCAGAAUCUCUGGAAACUCUCAAGCGUGGAUCCGACGAUGUCAGAGGACUCCUCUCACUCUACGAGGCUUCAUACCUUGCGUUCGGAGGAGAGGAAACAUUGGACGAGGCAAGAGCAUUUUCUAAGAAAGCUCUCAUAAAGCUCUUGCCAUCCAUGGAUCACCACGUACGAUGCAGUGUAGUUCGUUCUUUGGACCUUCCAUUGCACCGGAGGUCUCCUAGACUGGAAGCAAGAUGGUUCAUAGAUCACUAUGCUAGAGAUGAGAACAAUUCCGACCCGUUGCUUGUUAGAUUUGCAACGACAGACUUCAACAAUGUGCAAAGUGUGCAUCAGGAAGAACUCGCGAGACUCGCAAGGUGGUGGAAGGGGACUGCCCUUAGUGAAAAAUUGGGGUUCGCCAGGGAUCGUCUCAUGGAGUGCUUCCAUUACGCAAAUGGAAUUGUGUGGGAGCCAAACAAUGGAGCGUGUCGAGAAGUGCUUGCUAAAGUCGCCAAUCUAAUAGUUCACUUAGAUGAUGUUUAUGAUGUGUAUGGAACUCUAGAUGAACUUGUUCUCUUCACCGACGCCAUUGGAAGGUGGGAAGAAAGUCCUAGUGAAAGACUCCCCGAAUACAUGCAAGCACUCUAUUCCGUGAUGUACAGAACAUCCGCUGAGGUGGCUGAAAAUGUGUUGGAACAACAUGGUUGCGACGCUCGUCAUGUUCUUCAGAAAGCAUGGCGAGAGAUGGCGGAGUCUUUCCUGGUGGAGGCAAAGUGGCACCAUGGAAACCACAGACCAACACUGCGUGAGUAUCUGGACAAUGGAUCAAUUUCAGCCUCUGCUCCACUGUUGCUGCAACAUACGUUUCCCCUGCUACGUGUGGAUGAAAAGAUCACCCCAAUGUCUCUUGCUAAAGUUGGAAACUACCCUAAAUUAGUUCAGUCAGCGUCGUUAGUUCUUCGCCUCUGCAAUGACUCUGCAACCCACUCUGCCGAGCUGGAGCGAGGGGAUGCACCAUCAUCAAUAGCUAUUCACAUGUCGGAGAACAGCUCCAGUGAGCAAGAGUCCCGUGAAGCCAUGGAAGACCUUACUAUGGAAGCCUGGAAGUCGAUUAACGAAGAUGCAUUCAAACACUGCCAAUUUUCUAGAUCUUUUGCCAAGACUUGCGUGAAUUUGGCUCGAAUCUCACAUUGUGUUUACCAAGGCGGGGAUGGUUUUGGUGCGCCGGAUGGUCGGAAGAAAAAGCAAAUUAGGGAGUUGUUCUUGGACUCUUUCAUGAUUGAGGAACAUUAA